RNAcentral lists this long non-coding RNA (3162 nucleotides) under Gallus gallus (chicken). RNAcentral describes it as "long non-coding RNA NONGGAT007263". The record is from RNAcentral. Lineage: Eukaryota; Metazoa; Chordata; Aves; Galliformes; Phasianidae.
CAAAAAGGUAUAAAAAUCUGUAUUCAUAUUCUGACAAAACAACGAUACAACACAGCGUUGCAGGGGAGUGGGACUAGAUGGCCUUUCAAAGUCCCUUCCAACUCAAAGGAUUCUGUGAUUCUAUGAUUCGGAGUAGAUUUUCCUCCACUGCAGUCUUUUGCUGGGAUUUAGAAUAGUUGAGAUAGAAAGAAGGGCCAAGAUGACCAAAUUCUCACAUGCUCUGUUCAGUAUUUCCCCUCCAUUGUAAUUCUAGGUAGUAACGUAAUGCUUGGGUGUUUCUUUGGCAGCUGCCAAUUAACAGUCCUACACUUAGUUGGUCACUUCAGCAAUUUGGCUUAUUUUGCUUUCGGUGAAACUUCCUUUGGUUUCCGACGUGUUCACCCCACUCGUAUUUGUGGGGAGUACAGAUCUUUAAGAACACCUAAAGGGACUCAGUUCUCCUUCCCCCAGUGCUGGGAUGUGCAAUGAAGUGUGUAAAAUCACUAUUCCUAGGUUAAGAGCUGUGACAUUCGUUUCCACAGUGCUCAUCUGCAGGGACAAAACCACUCACAGGUAGUCUCCGUUGAGCGAGGAAGGUGGCACUACAGUGCAGAUCACAGUGAAGGCCUCCAAGAAGAGCAGAAUGACACUCCAGGGCGCUGCGCAGAGCACUGCUGCAGCCUGGGCUGACACACGGCUCUGCAUCCUCCUGUUCCACUUCUGUGCUUUUGGCACUCAAUUCACCGAAACUGACCACGCCUGACGUACAGAGGGGUGCUCCGAACACCGAUGCUAACUAAGAAAGCAGCAUUCAUGAUAGGAACCCAUCUACAAACACCAGAUGAAAAACUCUGUCCUCCUCGUGGAUUUUGGGGGACUUUUGAUGUCUGCGAUGUUCUAAUGAAACUCACUCUGAGCCCAGAUUGAGUUUCGCACAAAGAAGCCCACAGGAUCCAGUCUCCAGGUCACAACAUGCUGCAGCUUCUACCAGUCAAGCCCCACUCUUUUAGGAAGAUAAAUAAGCCAGGCUCCGUGGGAUACAAGUUAGGCAGAGCCGGGAUGGGAGUGAAGGCGUAUUCAUCCUAAUUGCAGCUGAGAGUUUGCAGAAAAGUUAACCAUUUGGAUUUGUGCCUCUCCCCCGCUGCCCCAGGAGCCAGGGAAGGGCCAGCCCCGAGGCCAGGCCUCUCAACUCCGCAGAAAGCCCUUUGCAAUGCCUUCAUCUCUGCAGAGCCCUGCCCGCAGAGGAACGGCCCAGCAGUCGUCAGGUGUUCUCUGCUCGUUCCUUCCCCAUGUGGUAACGCGGAGGAAGAAGGAUGAACAUAGAAGUGGGACCUCGCCUGCCCAAAGCACGGUCAUGACACAGAACGGCAGAACUGCCAGCGCGGUUGCAGUGUUUAAUCUCGGAGCAAGCAGCAUUUGUUUCCAUUAAUGCCAUGGUUACAGGCAGUUGCGCGCGCACACCGAUGCACGCAUGCAGCAUGCACAGACACGAAGCACGCACACAAAGAUUCAGCUUGAAAAUGAGCAAAACCAGGACGCUGCGCCCAUCCCCACGUGCCACGUCCCAGGGUGCCACCGCCACGGACACAGCGCAGGGAGACGCGCUCUGGAAGGAGCCUGCCAGCCUGAACGGCAGCAGCGGUGCUGGGCACAGCAGCCAGCAAGCCUGGCACAUGGAGCAGCUGUGGGGCUUCCAGCCACUGUCCUGCACCGCCUGCAGAGAAGGGGCUACAACUGGAGGAAGCACCGCUUUAGAGUGGGGAGGAGAGCAUCAAGAGGGUCUCUCUACUGGGAUAACAGCUCCCACUGUAACAACUGGAAAAGUAAAAACAAAUAAACCCUUUUUGUUUCCACUCAAGAUUAUUCGAGUAAUUUUUAUUGAAAAUAUAAGAUCUACAAAGCCAUGGAUACCCAGCGUGGAAGAACUCAUUAAGUUAGCACAUUCAUCUUUAAAAGGAAAAUUUCAGGUUGACCUAAGGUACAAUAAUGUUGAAUUUAAAAUCUUGUCUUUCCUUCUGUAAGUUUCAAAUCUCUUUUCAUUAGGAGGUUCUGUGCAAGAGCUGCUUGUCACGAAAGGAAACACUUUACAAUUCAUGAGUGUGUUCAUUAUAGAAUAAAUGAACAGCAACAAUAUACUAGCCUGCUUUUUUUCCUGUUAACAGUCGUGUGUUAAAGUAAACUCUUAGUUUUGUUUUGUUUUUCCAUGAUUUGGAAAUUAGUUACAUAUGCACCAAAGGAGCUAGUAAUUUCUGCUGCUUGUCAGCUACACACAAUGAGUAUAUUGCUGUGUGCUUUCCCCAACAACGAGGAUUUUAGUAAAAUGCAAGGUGUAUACAACAUAAUACCAAAACCUGCAUCACAGAAAAGGUUAAUUGUUUUCUUAUUCAGCUGCCAGAGUUGAUAACCUUAUGCCCCUCCCCAGAGCCAAAGUAGGGGUGGCCAUCCGUUAGGUUAUGUAAAUUAAACAUAUACAUUUUCCUUGUUGGCAAGUUCCAAGCAGUAAGCGAGAGUGCAAACAAGGAUCUGUAAGCUGCCACAAAAUGUAUUCGUAUUUCUACUCGGUGUUGUAAGAGCCAAAGGGAGGACACGUAUGUCAGAUGUUGAAAGAACAACUGAAUCUUUGUUUUUGAUCAUUAUGGUCAGCGUGUCAUGAGGUCUUGUAUCUGAAUGCUAAAAAUGGCACCACACUUGGACAUCCCAUAGCCUUACACAGUACAUUUGUGUUUCCCUAGCCACUGAGCACUGGUCUCACGGAGACCCUGACUUUAUAAGCUAACAAAAUAUAGAUUUGGGUGCUGAAGAAUCAAAGGGAGGGCUCAUACCAUUAACCCUCGCACCGAAACCUAAAUUUAGGAUUUUACUUAAAGCCACACUGAAUCAGUUGUGAGAGGGUGAAGAUAUAAAUACACCUCUCUACUUCAUCGGUAGGAAGGUGGACAACUGACCAUUCAAACGGAGGGUCUGGAAACAAAGCUUAGUUGUCCUUUAAACAAUGAAAAGGAGAGGCAUACAUAAAUGGUCACCAAGGCACAAUAUGACAAAGGUGAAGAGUCCCUGAGACUCUGGUCUGGGUCUGUACCAUUCCCCUCCCUAUACAAGUAAAUGAGAACAUUUAGGAAAAUAUAAUACAAAAUCUCUUACAGGAAAUAUAGACUACACUUGCUAAAAUCACUUCCCUAAAAG